UGAGAACUGAAUUCCAUGUGUUG
RNAcentral lists this microRNA (23 nucleotides) under Chrysemys picta bellii (western painted turtle). Its description in RNAcentral is "Cpi-Mir-146-P4_5p (mature (guide))". RNAcentral also lists the same sequence under 1 other name. Lineage: Eukaryota; Metazoa; Chordata; Testudines; Emydidae. The record is from RNAcentral.